Molecule: long non-coding RNA, 509 nt
Filed under: Mytilus galloprovincialis (Mediterranean mussel)
Lineage: Eukaryota; Metazoa; Mollusca; Bivalvia; Mytilida; Mytilidae
Source: RNAcentral
UGUCAAUCAAAUAGGGUACGAAGCUUUUGGUGAUUUCUUAAUAAAGCAUUCGAGUUUGGUCUUUUGUGUUAUAAUUAUAAUAAGCAUGUAGUUAUCAAUGCAUACCAAAGUAUAGCUUUGCAUCAAGUAAGGUAGAGUAAAUUUGGAUGUGACAAUCUUCAUAAGAUUUUGCAUACAAUAUUAGCAUUCCUAAUGUCUUUAUAGUUUAUAAAAUUAUAUUCUUACAAUACAAUGGACGUAAUAUAGGCAAACAUUACUAUCUGCCAUUACUUUGAAUAAUUCUAUUUUGACCUGUUUCAAGGAAACAUUUAUGCAACAAUUCAAUCUACCACUUUUUCGGUAGCAGUUAACAAGGGAUCGAAGAAGAAUUCCAUCUAAGUCUAAAAACCAUUAGCGUCUAUACUGAAAAACAAAAUGCAAUGGUGGAUCAGACCGUGCUCUCGUUCUUCAUUUGGGCAUACACAUUAUAUAGACUCAGCUUUACCUGUCAGUGGGACGGCAAAUCAGCA